AAGAGUUAUGUAUCUUCGGGUACUAUCUCCAACCAAUUGUGAACCAAAUUUGUUGCCUCGACAUCCGAUGAGUACCCAAUCGGUGUACCCAUCCUUCGGUUGCUUUGCACCUGAAGAGUGAUGUCUGAGGAUUUUAAACUUCUUUUAAUUAAGUCUUCUGAGUUAAAAUCAAUAAAAACA
RNAcentral lists this unclassified non-coding RNA (180 nucleotides) under uncultured fungus. Its description in RNAcentral is "sequence contains ITS1, 5.8S rRNA gene". The record is from RNAcentral. Lineage: Eukaryota; Fungi.